ACGUCACAUACGCCGAUCACAUAUCAAAUCGGACAAAAAAGAUGUGCAGAAAAUAUGUGCUGCCAUUGAAUUCCCUUUUGUCCUUCCUUUCUUUCUAAGUUUUCUUUGGCUUCGGCUGUUCCAUCUUCCUCGUCCUCCUCCGCUGGGUUAGAAAGCUAAGGAUAGUCCGUGGAAUUUUCGAUCCCGGUGAGCACGAACUCAAGAACUGAACUGAAGACAGUGAACCCAGAUUUUGCUCCAAUCGAGUCACCAGAUCUCCCGAGAAUCCCACCCUUUUCCUCGUUAUCCGAGUUGAAGGAGAAACGCCCAUGAAGGAUUCGAGUCCGGGCACGGAGCCCAUCGGGCAGAACCUGAUAAAGCUCAUAGGGAACCUCUGCUUCUCCGUGUUCGUGUUCUCCGUGCUCGUCUUCACCGUGGUCGCCAUCACCUACCAACCCCCGGAUCCUUGGCUCGAGUCCGCCCCUGCCCUCACCCGCCUCUUCACCCAGAGCGAGAACGCCACCUUCAAGAACGACAACUCCAUCCUCACGACGGGCGAGGAUCUGCAGCUCUCCCCCGCGGGCGCCUCGGCAGCGGCUUCGGCUUCCCCUGAUUCCGGGGCGAACCCCAUCACCGAGGCCGUGAUCGAGAAGGCCGAGGAGGGGAUCCUCGGCCCUUCCUCGAAAUCGGAUCCGGGUUCAUGUGAAAUGGCCGGAGGGGCCGUUAAUUGCUCCGACCCGCGUGUCUUGAUCGCGGUCGAGAAGUUUAAUUUGCGGGUUUUUAAGUCCGUUGUGUUUUUGGAAUAUCAAGCUCCGGUUAGCGGGUCGAAGCCGGGUGAGUGCGAUGUAGCUUAUAGGUUCAGGAACAAGAAGGAGAAGUCUUGGAGGAAGUAUAGGGAUUUUAGGAGGUUUAGGGUGGAGAUUGGAGACAAUUGCGAGUAUAAGGCGCUGCAUUCCGGCGGUUGGCAUUCAGGCACCAAUGCUCGUAGACCGAGUAGGUCGAAUGCCACGAGGGGCACCAAAGCAAAAAUAUUGACGCCUGUUGGAGACAAUGAGAUAAAUGAUACAAUUCCGAGCUUGGGAUCGGAUGCAAACUUUAGAAAGGGCAGAUACUUGUACUAUUCGCCUGGUGGGGAUUAUUGCAAGGAAAUGAAUCAUUAUUUGUGGAGUUUGCUUUGUGGAUUAGGAGAGGCUAUGUACUUAAACCGCACGUUUGUGCUGGAUUUGAACAUGUGCUUGGCUGCAACUUAUAACCCUAGUAAUAAGGAUGAGGAGGGUAAGGAUUUUCGAUAUUAUUUUGAUUUCGAACAUCUCAAGGAGGUGGCGUCAAUUGUGGAGGAGGGCGAGUUCCUUAAGGAUUGGAAGAAAUGGGAUAAGAGCCAUAAGAAAAAGAUGCCGGUGAGAAAGGUGGUGACAUAUAAGGUUACCCCAAUGCAACUGAGGAAAGAUAAGAGUUCAAUUAUAUGGAGACAGUUCGAUGCUCCAGAACCAGAGAAUUACUGGUACAGGGUUUGUGAAGGGCAAGCUGCAAAAUACAUCCAGAGGCCUUGGCAUGCGAUCUGGAAAUCGAAGAGAUUGAUGAAUAUAGUCUCGGAGAUUAGUGGGCGAAUGGACUGGGAUUUCGAUGCCGUACAUGUGGUCCGGGGAGAAAGCUCAGAAUAAAGAGCUCUGGCCUCAUCUUGAUGCUGACACUUCUCCUGAUGCUCUUCUUCUGAAGCUUAAGGGAAUGAUUGCGCCUUGGAGGAAUCUCUACAUUGCAACCAAUGAGCCUUUUUACAAUUACUUUGAUAAGUUGAGGUCUCAAUACAAAGUACACUUGCUUGAUGAUUACAGGGAACUGUGGUCAAAUACAAGCGAGUGGCAUAAUGAGACAAUGCUUCUAAACAAGGGAAGACCUGUAGAAUUUGAUGGUUACAUGAGGGUCGCAGUUGAUACAGAGGUCCUCUAUAGAGGGAAGACACGUGUGGAGACAUUUUAUAACCUAACAAAAGAUUGCAAGGAUGGAAUUAAUACAUGCUGACCAGGUUGACGAACACUCUUAUUGCUUCUUUUUGUUGUUUUAUAUCUUUUGCUAUGCCUUUUUUCUCUCAAUUCUUUCUCUGGAGUGAGAAGGUUGAGUUCAUCUUAGCACAUCUUACAUGUACCUGUUACUUCAUACAUUUGCUGAAUGUCAAUACGAUAAACUUACUGAAUCUGUUUGUACUAUUCUUCAGCUUCAUGCAAUUUCCUCGUUCUUCUAAAUUCCAAGUUGAUGUGUGCUUGAAAGCACUCGCUC
Molecule: RNA transcript, 2253 nt
Organism: Eucalyptus grandis
Lineage: Eukaryota; Viridiplantae; Streptophyta; Magnoliopsida; Myrtales; Myrtaceae
Exons: 2
Source: RefSeq, a predicted model, not a curated record